This 185-nucleotide ribosomal RNA is filed under the name uncultured bacterium. RNAcentral's name for it is "partial 16S ribosomal RNA". It matches the Rfam family "Bacterial small subunit ribosomal RNA", at positions 172 to 353 of the family's 1533-position model. The record is from RNAcentral.
CAUAAGAUUGUAGUAUCGCAUGAUAUAGCAAUUAAAGGAGCAAUUCGCUAUAAGAUGGACCCGCGUCGCAUUAGCUAGUUGGUGAGGUAAUGGCUCACCAAGGCGACGAUGCGUAGCCGACCUGAGAGGGUGAUCGGCCACAUUGGGACUGAGACACGGUCCAGACUCCUACGGGAGGCAGCAUG